Ailuropoda melanoleuca (giant panda) is the source of this 2361-nucleotide long non-coding RNA. RefSeq lists it as uncharacterized. Lineage: Eukaryota; Metazoa; Chordata; Mammalia; Carnivora; Ursidae. The transcript is spliced from 3 exons. The record is from RefSeq and is a predicted model, not a curated record.
GACUGGCCUCCCACGAGAGGCUCACAUCUCACAUGCAGAAGUCUCUCUUCUGGCCAUCUCGGCCGCCUUUCAGAUUGUGGAGAUGAUGGAGUCCCAGGCAGCCAACCUCAGAGCUGGCAGACAGAAACAGCUGAGAAGAAGUUGCCUAACUGUGAGAAGAUGGCUUUGGAAUUUGGGAACCAGCUGGAGGGCAAGUGGGCCGUGCUGGGGACCCUGCUGCAGGAAUCCAGCCUGCUGCAGAGGCUGCUGGAGAACAUGGAGAACCUGCUGAGAAAUGGAACUUCUGGGUCCUGAGGCUGCCCCCGGGCAACAAUGGGGAGGCCCCCAAGGUGUCCCUGACAACAGAAGAUGUGGCCAUGUGACUCAGAGCAGGAGUGGGGCAGCCUGGAACACCAGCAGAAGGAGCUCCGCAAGCACAUGAAAGGGAACCACGAGACUCUGAUCUCCCUGGGAUAUGUGAUUGGCUGCCAGAACAGCGAUGGAGAAAACACAAAACAAAACAAAGUAAUGAACCAGUGGCUUCAGCAAGAUAGUGGUGAGUGCCAGCUCUCCCCUGACAGGCUCUUAUUGUCACAGACCCAGGCUCCUUCCAGCUUGUUGCUCUCCCCUUCCCAGGAUGGGGCCUUGUCGCCAUGGUUCUAGACGGCUCAGUACUGUCUGUAGUCUGUCAGAGGGAGGCAGGGAGGGGGCGGUGCUCUUUCCCUUUAAGGACAGCACAUGUGUUUACUUCUUAUUUAAUUAACGCAUAUUUAGUACUUAUCAUGUACUUUAUCAGUAUUGACCCACGGAAGCUUCAUUGCAACCUUUUGUUUACUCGUGUUAUAGAUCAAGAGACCAAGGCACAGAGUGGCUGAAUAAAUUGUCCCAUUUCAUGUAGCCGUAGGAGGCAGAGCCUCUCACACCCCGUUGAGGAGAACCAGCCACACAACCACAUUAGCUUGCAGCGGAGGCCUGGAAACAUGGUCCUGUUUAGGUGGCCACGUGCUCAGCAAAAAACACCCCCAAAUGUUCUGUGACUUGAAGGUGAUCUGUGGUGUCGGAGGACAGCCUGAGAGCCUCUGUCAUAGCUCACGGCCUGUCACCUGUGGGCCGAGCUCUCCUGGCUCUCCUGACAACCUGCCCAGGGCUCUUUCCACUGUGACACCUGUCUCUGUCCUCAGAAAUCCCUAGUAUAGGCACGCCUGGGAGAUGUUGUGGGGUCGAUUCCAGACCACUGCAGUAAAGCUAAUACUGCAAUAAAGCAGGUCCAAGGACUGUGUUGGUUUCCCCGUGCGUGGAAGUUCCCUACACACGACACUGGGUCUGUGAGCUGUGCAAUAGCAUUGUGUCUAAAACGACAAUGGACAUGCCUUCAUUGAACGAUACUUUAUUGCUAGAACGUGCUAACUGCCAUCUGAGCUUUCGGUGAGUCAGUCCUGCCGCUGCUGGAGGGUCUCGGCGGCGCUGCCAACCCAUCAGGGUGCUGGGCGCUGGAGGCCGGCGCGGCCGUGCAGGUUCGUAAGACAAGCGGCUCAUCUGUCACAGUUUCUCUGCCGCGGCCGGUGCUGCCGGGUGGCAUUUUACCCGCAGCAGAACUGCCUUCAGAAUUGGAGUCUGUCCUCCCGAGCCCUGCCACUGCCUCAUCGGCUGAGCUGCAGUCACGUUCUCGAUCCUCGGUGGUCGUUUCAAGCAUCGUCUCGGUGUCUCCGCCAGGACGAGCUGCAUCCCAGGAAACCCCUUGCUUGGCGCGGCCCAAAGCAGCUCACGUUCGGUCCUGACUUUGCAGCAGCUCCGUGCCCUCUUCGGGCUCCACUCCUGGUUCUGUCCUCUGGCUGUUUCCACUUCCUCCACCGACAUCUGAACCUUCAUUUGUAAAAAGACAGAAUCUGUGAAGCACAGUAAAGCAAAGUGCAAUAAAAUGAGAUAUGCUUGUAGAGAAAAUAAAAAAUAUGAUGAAUACAGGCUCUCCCAGAGUCCGGAACUUCUAGCAGCCUUGGUCCCCACUGCCCUGGCCCCCACUGCCCUGGCCCCUCUGGGACUCUGUGAGAACAGCCAAGGAAGCUAGGCACAGGGGCGAAGCCUAGCAUCUGUGUUGGGUGGGAGGGUGACAGGAGGCAGGAAAGAGCUGAACAGCUGGGGGCAAAGGGAAGGAGAAGGGCAGAGGGAGGUUCGUGGAUGUGGUGGGGGGGAGGGUUAGAGAUUACUGAGGAUGCGGAACUUCAGAGUUCAAACUUCUGGAGGUGGGACAGUUUCUAGUGAUGACCAGGUCCCAGCUGUGUCCUCUGGCCAAAGAGGAGCCAAGGUCAAGGCACUGAGGGACCGGGGACGGAGGCUCAUCAGCAUGGAUGCAGAGAGCACCAAGCAUGACCAGAGCAUGGAGGA